GUGAGGAAUAUUGGUCAAUGGACGAGAGCCUGAACCAGCCAAGUCGCGUGAAGGAAGAAGGCUCUAUGGUUCGUAAACUUCUUUUGCAGGGGAAUAAAGUGCGGGACGUGUCCUGUUUUGUAUGUACCCUGAGAAUAAGGAUCGGCUAACUCCGUGCCAGCAGCCGCGGUAAUACGGAGGAUCCGAGCGUUAUCCGGAUUUAUUGGGUUUAAAGGGUGCGUAGGUGGUUUGAUAAGUCAGCGGUGAAAGUUUGCAGCUUAACUGUAAAGAUGCCGUUGAAACUGUCGGACUUGAGUGUAAAUGAGGUAGGCGGAAUGCGUGGUGUAGCGGUGAAAUGCAUAGAUAUCACGCAGAACUCCGAUUGCGAAGGCAGCUUACUAAGCUACAACUGACACUGAAGCACGAAAGCGUGGGGAUCAAACAGGAUUAGAUACCCGAGUAGUCC
Molecule: ribosomal RNA, 445 nt
Filed under: uncultured bacterium
Lineage: Bacteria
Description: partial 16S ribosomal RNA
Rfam family: Bacterial small subunit ribosomal RNA
Source: RNAcentral